Molecule: non-coding RNA, 116 nt
Organism: Deltaproteobacteria bacterium
Lineage: Bacteria; Pseudomonadati; Myxococcota; Myxococcia
Source: Rfam
UCCGGUGGCGAUAGCGGAGGUGUCACACCCGAUCCCAUCCCGAACUCGGUCGUUAAGCCCUCCAGCGCCGAUGGUACUAUGCGGUUGCCGUAUGGGAGAGUAGGUCGCCGCCGGAU